RNAcentral lists this transfer RNA (74 nucleotides) under Thermoplasmata archaeon. Its description in RNAcentral is "tRNA-Val". It matches the Rfam family "tRNA". From Rfam's summary of the family: Transfer RNA (tRNA) molecules are approximately 80 nucleotides in length. Their secondary structure includes four short double-helical elements and three loops (D, anti-codon, and T loops). Further hydrogen bonds mediate the characteristic L-shaped molecular structure. tRNAs have two regions of fundamental functional importance: the anti-codon, which is responsible for specific mRNA codon recognition, and the 3' end, to which the tRNAs corresponding amino acid is attached (by aminoacyl-tRNA synthetases). tRNAs cope with the degeneracy of the genetic code in two manners: having more than one tRNA (with a specific anti-codon) for a particular amino acid; and 'wobble' base-pairing, i.e. permitting non-standard base-pairing at the 3rd anti-codon position. Lineage: Archaea; Methanobacteriati; Thermoplasmatota; Thermoplasmata. The record is from RNAcentral. RNAcentral also lists the same sequence under 2 other names.
GGGCUCGUAGUCUAGAUGGUUAUGACGUCGCCUUGACGAGGCGGAGGUCGAGGGUUCAAAUCCCUCCGAGCCCA